GAGAGCUACGUUCUCCUUGCACUUCACCUCUCGCUGAAAGCACCCCGCCCCCUUCGCAACAUUCUCAAACCCCCGCUGCGUGCGACGGUGCUGCAUCUCUGGCCUCCAUCUUACUGCGCUUCUCCCGUAUCUUGCGACUCGCGACGAUCGUCACCCUUGCCCUUUGCUUUGCGUGGUGGCGCCCAUCCCGUUCAUUAGUGAACUCUUGGUUGCGGCUGCGCACAGAGACGAUGGAGGGGUCGAAAAAGUACGAGGAGGCCUCCCUGCGGGGCAUCACGCGCCAUCACGUGUGGAAGAGCAGAACCAGCGAUCUCACCGUAAUCAACCUCCGAGACCCGACUGAGCUGCUGGGGAUUCAGGACCCGCUGGCGGUAGCCGCGGUAGCUGAAACGAGGCAGGCAACAGCCGCCUCCCCGCCGCCGCCGCUGCGGCCGCCACUGGCGCGACCGGUGACCGGGAAGCAGGAGAGCCUCAAUGCCCUUUUGGCAAAACUGCAACUGUGCCGACCGGCGCAAGAGCCUUCGUCGCAUCCGUCAGCAGCUGCCAAGCCGCUGCCGCAGUCGUCGGCCAACGCCGCGCCUCCCGCUGCGCCCAGUGCGGCAGCGCCUUCAGCGCUGCAUCCGACGGCCCGCGUCACCUCGACGGCAGCCGCGGCGUCUCCUGCCAUUGUGAUGCCGGAGGUGAGCGACCCCUCGUUUCCUGACCCGAAGGAGUCGUCAUCCGGGCCGUCUGGCCAGUUUGAGUUUAUCACAGGCACAAACAUUCCUGGUCAAGGAGUUGUGAAGAAGACCGAGGCCGUUGAUGAGUCAUCCAGCAUGGCCCUCUUCCACGACCCGCUCUGGGGAGGUUCUCUGGACGCGUUUGCGUUGCCGCCAACCUCGAAGCCAUCCCCUAAGCCCCAGCUUCGCGCCUCUCUGUCGGAGCUGUACGCUAGCGCUGCCUCCAACAACACCAGCGCGUUCGCAUCUCCGCCGGCGCCGGCGUCACAGCCUCAGAAAGUGGCCUCUCCUCCCGUCGCCACGGUGACGGCGAGCGCAGUGCCUACUGCGAUGGCGUCUUCGACGAUGCCGAUGAUGAGCGGGAUCGUCCAGCCGCCCACUCCGCCGCAACUGAACACGCCUUUUCCAAUGUACACGGUGCCCAUUCAGUACAUGGCUCAGCAACCGCAGUUUCCAGCCGGGAUGGUGUACAACGCACCGAACUUCUUUCCCUACGGUGCGGCUCCGAUGAUGAUGGCGCAACCGCAGCACAUUCCGCAGGGUUAUGCGAUUCCCGCCGCCGCCAUGAUGAGACCCGGUACAAAUGUUAAGGCGAUGCCAUUUGUUCCAGGAAACACAAUGUGAGAGCGGCGACGGCGGCCGUGUCUCACGGACGCCUAUCAACAUACCCACAUACUUCUUAGCGAACUCCGGCGAGGGCCGUCAGCGGCGCGCGGUUCGGUCACACGUACACUGCACAUGGAGUCAGAACGGGUCCGAUGCGACACCUGUCGCUUUCCUCGUGUUAACCCGUGCUCUCUCUCCCUUGUUGUGUGCUUUUGUCGUUUCUGUUUUCUCGCUUGAGUUUUUCUCCUCUUCUUCGCUUCUGUUCUUGUGUGUUCUCGGACCAAUCUUCAUUUUUUCUCUUUUUCUGCACAUAACUAUUGUUUCGUUUGUUUUUGUCCUCCCUUUGCCUUCUCCCUUCGC
RNAcentral lists this unclassified non-coding RNA (1685 nucleotides) under Leishmania donovani. RNAcentral's name for it is "gene:LdHU3.30.4900(CDS-product:hypothetical_prote in_conserved)". The record is from RNAcentral. Lineage: Eukaryota; Euglenozoa; Kinetoplastea; Trypanosomatida; Trypanosomatidae.